UACGAAGGAGGCUAGCGUUGCUCGGAAUCACUGGGCGUAAAGCGCACGUAGGCGGCUUUCUAAGUCAGGGGUGAAAUCUUGGAGCUCAACUCCAGAACUGCCUUUGAUACUGGAGAGCUCGAGUCCGGGAGAGGUGAGUGGAACUCCGAGUGUAGAGGUGAAAUUCGUAGAUAUUCGCAAGAACACCAGUGGCGAAGGCGGCUCACUGGCCCGGUACUGACGCUGAGGUGCGAAAGCGUGGGGAGCAAACAGG
RNAcentral lists this ribosomal RNA (253 nucleotides) under uncultured bacterium. Its description in RNAcentral is "partial 16S ribosomal RNA". It matches the Rfam family "Bacterial small subunit ribosomal RNA", at positions 524 to 776 of the family's 1533-position model. The record is from RNAcentral.